This 195-nucleotide unclassified non-coding RNA is filed under the name plant metagenome. Its description in RNAcentral is "partial contains small subunit ribosomal RNA, internal transcribed spacer 1, and 5.8S ribosomal RNA". The record is from RNAcentral.
UCUCCGUUGGUGAACCAGCGGAGGGAUCAUUACCGAGUUUACAACUCCCAAACCCCUGUGAACAUACCACUUGUUGCCUCGGCGGUGCCAGCUUCGGCAGCCCGCCAGAGGACCCAAACCCUUGAUUUUAUACAGUAUCUUCUGAGUAAAUGAUUAAAUAAAUCAAAACUUUCAACAACGGAUCUCUUGGUUCUG